Molecule: non-coding RNA, 64 nt
Filed under: Streptomyces sp. TSRI0281
Lineage: Bacteria; Bacillati; Actinomycetota; Actinomycetes; Kitasatosporales; Streptomycetaceae
Description: Streptomyces RNA 2736
Rfam family: Streptomyces RNA 2736
About the family: Identified by deep sequencing of transcriptome at the end of exponential growth phase.
Source: Rfam by way of RNAcentral
CGCCCGGCCGGAUCCCGUGGGGGGAAUCCGCUCCGGGAUAUGGGAAGCGCCCCGUUUCGUCGAC